This 253-nucleotide ribosomal RNA is filed under the name uncultured bacterium. RNAcentral's name for it is "partial 16S ribosomal RNA". It matches the Rfam family "Bacterial small subunit ribosomal RNA", at positions 524 to 776 of the family's 1533-position model. The record is from RNAcentral.
UACGAAGGGGGCUAGCGUUGCUCGGAAUCACUGGGCGUAAAGGGCGCGUAGGCGGCCAUUCAAGUCGGGGGUGAAAGCCCAGGGCUCAACCCUGGAAUUGCCUUCGAUACUGUUUGGCUAGAGACCGGAAGAGGUUAGUGGAACUGCGAGUGUAGAGGUGAAAUUCGUAGAUAUUCGCAAGAACACCAGUGGCGAAGGCGGCUAACUGGUCCGGUUCUGACGCUGAGGAGCGAAAGCGUGGGGAGCAAACAGG